RNAcentral lists this non-coding RNA (30 nucleotides) under Mus musculus (house mouse). Lineage: Eukaryota; Metazoa; Chordata; Mammalia; Rodentia; Muridae. The record is from RNAcentral.
UCUACAGAUUGGUGGGCAAUACAUUCACUA